This 200-nucleotide ribosomal RNA is filed under the name uncultured bacterium. RNAcentral's name for it is "partial 16S ribosomal RNA". It matches the Rfam family "Bacterial small subunit ribosomal RNA", at positions 29 to 243 of the family's 1533-position model. The record is from RNAcentral.
AACGAACGCUGGCGGCAGGCUUAACACAUGCAAGUCGAGCGCCCCGCAAGGGGAGCGGCAGACGGGUGAGUAACGCGUGGGAAUCUACCGUGCCCUGCGGAAUAACUCCGGGAAACUGGAACUAAUACCGCAUACGCCCCUUUAUGGAGACAUUUUGGGGGGAAAGAUUUAUCGGAAUUAGAUGAGCCCGCGUAAGAUUA